Molecule: ribosomal RNA, 497 nt
Filed under: uncultured bacterium
Lineage: Bacteria
Description: partial 16S ribosomal RNA
Rfam family: Bacterial small subunit ribosomal RNA
Source: RNAcentral
GAUGAACGCUGGCGGCGUGCCUAAUACAUGCAAGUCGAGCGAACGGACGAGAAUCUUGCGUCUCUGUUGUUAGCGGCGGACGGGAGAGUAACACGUGUAUAACCUACCUAUAAGACUGGGAAAAUUUCGGGAAACCGGAGAUAAUCCCGGAGAAGAUUUUGAACCGCAGGGUGCAAAGGAGAAAGACGGUGUUGCGGGCAGUUAUAGAGGGAUCCGCGCUGCAUUAGCUAGUUGGUAAGGUAACGGCUUACCAAGGCAACGAGGCAUAGCCGAAGUGCGAGGGGGAUAGGCCACACUGGAGCUGAACCACGGACAAGGCUCCUACGAGAGGCCGCAGUAUGCUACCUUCGGCAAUGGGCGGAAGCCUGGCGGAGCAACGCCACGUGUGUGAUGGCGGUCUUCGGAUCGUAAAACUCUGUUAUUGGGGAAGAACAUAUGUGUACGUAGCUGUGCCCAGCGUGACGGUACCUAGUCAGGAAGCCCCGGCUAACUACGUG